Molecule: long non-coding RNA, 548 nt
Organism: Poeciliopsis prolifica (blackstripe livebearer)
Lineage: Eukaryota; Metazoa; Chordata; Actinopteri; Cyprinodontiformes; Poeciliidae
Exons: 4
Source: RefSeq, a predicted model, not a curated record
AAGAAGCACCAAUUUGAGCCUGCAGAGCCGCCAGUGUCCUGCAACAAAUUAUGAAAGCCAUCAAGAAGCGCCGUGCGCCGCGGAACCCUUUUUAUUGGGAAAACCUGGCGCCUCCUGCCCGUAUCAGACGACUCGAAACGGGAGAGAGGAGUGGAGGAGGUGGGGGAAGCAAAAUCUGUGAAAACAGGAGCAGGACGUGCUGAAAUGCAGCUUUGGUACAGAGGAUGGAUGGAGGAUUUUCUAAACGUCACAGAAAGGUUUGUUCUGGGUGUGAGGAAAGAGCUGGGGUGAUCUUCAACAGCAUACAGCAGAGCUGAGCAUGCAGAGUCCUGCUGGUUAUUUCAUACUAGCAACUUCCUUUUUCUGAUGAGAAAAAAAAACAGUGGGUUUUAAUCUCUAAUACCUCCAACAAGUAAUUAAUGGGACGUUUUCAAUUAUUAAGGAAAGUAGUGUUUGAUUUUAUGUACAGCUGUAGGCUACAUGAGGAGAAAACUUCCAAAUUUAAAACAAAUAUUUCAAAACUACAUGCAUGUCUUUAUCAGAACUAA